CGCGAAAACUAUACAAUGCAGGCAACUGCGAUAGGGGAACAUCGAGUGAUCCUCAUAUUGGGGGUCUGUCCACCCGCCUAAAAGGCGGGUGUUAGCAAGGGC
This 102-nucleotide ribosomal RNA is filed under the name uncultured archaeon. Its description in RNAcentral is "partial 16S ribosomal RNA". It matches the Rfam family "Archaeal small subunit ribosomal RNA", at positions 340 to 443 of the family's 1478-position model. The record is from RNAcentral.